UACGUAGGGGGCAAGCGUUGUCCGGAAUCAUUGGGCGUAAAGCGCGUGUAGGCGGCUUGGUAAGUCUGCUGUGAAAGUCCAGGGCUCAACCCUGGGAUGCCGGUGGAUACUGUCGAGCUCGAGUCCGGAAGAGGCGAGUGGAAUUCCUGGUGUAGCGGUGAAAUGCGCAGAUAUCAGGAGGAACACCAAUGGCGAAGGCAGCUCGCUGGGACGUGACUGACGCUGAGACGCGAAAGCGUGGGGAGCAAACAGG
This 253-nucleotide ribosomal RNA is filed under the name uncultured bacterium. Its description in RNAcentral is "partial 16S ribosomal RNA". It matches the Rfam family "Bacterial small subunit ribosomal RNA", at positions 524 to 776 of the family's 1533-position model. The record is from RNAcentral.